RNAcentral lists this transfer RNA (67 nucleotides) under Marmota monax (woodchuck). Its description in RNAcentral is "tRNA.Ala". Lineage: Eukaryota; Metazoa; Chordata; Mammalia; Rodentia; Sciuridae. The record is from RNAcentral.
GGUUGUGGCUCAAGGGUGGAGCGCUUGCCUAGCAUGGAUGAGGCACUGGGUUCAAUCCCUAGCACCA